CAGCAAUUGUGGAGUGGAUCAUCUUGGGUGCGUUCAAGCUUCUGGCCGGGAACUUCGUGUCCGCGUUCUUGCCUCCCAGACGUGUGGAGGAUGCAAAGGGCAGCAUUGAGGUGGACUGGUGUCCUAAUCCCGCUGCCAAUCCGGAGGAUUACCGGCAGCUCAACGUGAAUGUGUAUCGGCCACCAGCAUUCGAGAAGGGAUACAAGCUGGCGGAGCUGGGAGCGCUGAAAUCAGGCAAGCUUGGACCAUACUAUGAUGGAGGCUUGCGCUGCCCCUUCCGGCAAAUGCACGCAUAGAAUAGGACAUUCGUUCGGAGAACAAAGCAUCAUUUAAAAAUGAUGAAUCUUUUUGUAAUUUGCAGAUAGCACAAAACCAUUAUUAAUAGUACGGGAUCCAAACAAUUUAGAAACACAGAGACAAAAAUAUUGCAGGUUGUAGUUAGAAGUCUAAGUUGACACGCUCGCUUACACCUAAGAGAACGAAAAGCUUGUCAAGCGGAAGGAAUAAAGAUCAAAAGCUUACCUCCACGAGAAAACCUCACGUUAAUCCAUGGGGCUAGCAUGCCCACCAUCAGGUGCGAACUACCAAACUUUCCUUCGAGUCCAGCGCCGCACUCACUGGCCAAUCAGGAUACCCGAGUACAACUUGAGCUCUCCCACUGAGAUGGCUGCAAAGCCGCUUUCAAAGCUCGGCAUCCCCCAUGCCUGUUCAAGGCAACAGACUUUAAACACACGACAAAAACUCACCUUGGAGCAACCGGCCAACAGGGUGCGACCCAUCCGGAAUCGUAAUGUCCUCCGAUAACAAGGAUGCUCUCCAGGCUGCAAACUUAUCCCGAACCUCCUGCGUGGUGAAGGCGCGUGUGAACUCUUCCGAGAUCGGCUCUGUGGGUGAGUCAGGGAACUAAUGCAGAGAAGCUUCAACCAGCUGGUUUCCCUUGACCUGCACAUAUCCAUCGAUCUCAGAAAUGGCAUAUCGCCAUUCCCUCAUGUCCAUGGCAUACACAAAACAAACAGAAAUUGAUUUCAAAACACGAAACUAGAAACUGGUACAUACAUGAAGAUAUGUUGGAGGUCUUGCUUGCUUCCCUAAGCUGGCAGUGAUCCACGUACAUGAAAAC
RNAcentral lists this long non-coding RNA (1120 nucleotides) under Selaginella moellendorffii. RNAcentral describes it as "long non-coding RNA (SMOE_LNC001965)". The record is from RNAcentral. Lineage: Eukaryota; Viridiplantae; Streptophyta; Lycopodiopsida; Selaginellales; Selaginellaceae.